Molecule: ribosomal RNA, 433 nt
Filed under: uncultured bacterium
Lineage: Bacteria
Description: partial 16S ribosomal RNA
Rfam family: Bacterial small subunit ribosomal RNA
Source: RNAcentral
AACGAACGCUGGCGGCAUGCCUAACACAUGCAAGUCGAACGAGACCUUCGGGUCUAGUGGCGCACGGGUGCGUAACGCGUGGGAACCUGCCCUUAGGUUCGGAAUAACUCCCCGAAAGGGGUGCUAAUACCGGAUAAUGUCUUCGGACCAAAGAUUUAUCGCGUUUGGAUGGGCCCGCGUUGGAUUAGCUAGUUGGUAGGGUAAAAGCCUACCAAGGCGACGAUCCAUAGCUGGUCUGAGAGGAUGAUCAGCCACACUGGGACUGAGACACGGCCCAGACUCCUACGGGAGGCAGCAGUGGGGAAUAUUGGACGAUGGGCGAAAGCCUGAUCCAGCAAUGCCGCGUGAGUGAUGAAGGCCGUAGGGUUGUAAAGCUCUUUUACCCGGGAUGAUAAUGACAGUACCGGGAGAAUAAGCUCCGGCUAACUCCGUG